CCCUUAGAUGUCCUGGGCUGCACGCGCGCUACACUGACACAUGCAACGAGUUUUUCCUUACCUGAAAGGGUUGGGUAAUCUCCUUGAAAGUGUGUCGUGAUGGGGAUAGAUUAUUGCAAUUAUUAAUCUUCAACGAGGAAUUCCUAGUAAGUGCAAGUCAUCAGCUUGCGCUGAUUACGUCCCUGCCCUUUGUACACACCGCCCGUCGCUCCUACCGAUUGAGUGCUCAGGUGAAUAAUUCGGACUGCAGCAAUGUUUGGAUCCCGAACGUUGCAGCGGAAAGUUUAGUGAACCUUAUCACUUAGAGGAAGGAGAAGUCGUAACA
This 325-nucleotide ribosomal RNA is filed under the name uncultured eukaryote. RNAcentral's name for it is "partial 18S ribosomal RNA". It matches the Rfam family "Eukaryotic small subunit ribosomal RNA", at positions 1470 to 1796 of the family's 1831-position model. The record is from RNAcentral.